This 467-nucleotide ribosomal RNA is filed under the name uncultured bacterium. RNAcentral's name for it is "bacterial SSU rRNA". It matches the Rfam family "Bacterial small subunit ribosomal RNA", at positions 338 to 795 of the family's 1533-position model. The record is from RNAcentral.
CCUACGGGGGGCUGCAGUGGGGAAUCUUGCGCAAUGGCCGAAAGGCUGACGCAGCGACGCCGCGUGCGGGAGGAAGCCCUUCGGGGUGUAAACCGCUGUCAGAGGGGACGAACUUCCGGGGUUGGAAUACGGCUUCGGGCUGACGGUACCCUCAGAGGAAGCGCCGGCUAACUCCGUGCCAGCAGCCGCGGUAAGACGGAGGGCGCGAGCGUUGUUCGGAAUUACUGGGCGUAAAGCGCGCGCAGGCGGACGUGGCAAGUCGGAAGUGAAAUCCCGGGGCUCAACUCCGGGGCCGCUUCCGAUACUGUUCGUCUAGGGACCGGUAGAGGCCGGUGGAAUUCCCGGUGUAGCGGUGGAAUGCGUAGAGAUCGGGAAGAACACCUGUGGCGAAGGCGGCCGGCUGGGCCGGAUCCGACGCUGAGGCGCGAAAGCGUGGGGAGCAAACAGGAUUAGAUACCCCUGUAGUC